UCAUAAAUACACGUUCCUCUCCCCCACCGUA
Molecule: non-coding RNA, 31 nt
Filed under: Homo sapiens (human)
Lineage: Eukaryota; Metazoa; Chordata; Mammalia; Primates; Hominidae
Source: RNAcentral